This 450-nucleotide ribosomal RNA is filed under the name uncultured bacterium. Its description in RNAcentral is "bacterial SSU rRNA". It matches the Rfam family "Bacterial small subunit ribosomal RNA", at positions 329 to 794 of the family's 1533-position model. The record is from RNAcentral.
GGCCAGACUCCUACGGGAGGCAGCAGUGGGGAAUAUUGGGCAAUGGGCGCAAGCCUGACCCAGCAACGCCGCGUGAAGGAAGAAGGCUUUCGGGUUGUAAACUUCUUUUAAGAGGGAAGAGCAGAAGACGGUACCUCUUGAAUAAGCCACGGCUAACUACGUGCCAGCAGCCGCGGUAAUACGUAGGUGGCAAGCGUUGUCCGGAUUUACUGGGUGUAAAGGGCGUGCAGCCGGGAGUGCAAGUCAGAUGGGAAAUCCCGCGGCUCAACCGCGGAACUGCAUUUGAAACUGUGCUUCUUGAGUGCUGGAGAGGCAGACGGAAUUCCUAGUGUAGCGGUGAAAUGCGUAGAUAUUAGGAGGAACACCAGUGGCGAAGGCGGCCUGCUGGGCUUUUACUGACGCUGAGGCUCGAAAGUGUGGGGAGCAAACAGGAUUAGAUACCCCCGUAAC